This 74-nucleotide transfer RNA is filed under the name Eubacterium sp. RNAcentral describes it as "tRNA-Met". It matches the Rfam family "tRNA". Rfam says of the family: Transfer RNA (tRNA) molecules are approximately 80 nucleotides in length. Their secondary structure includes four short double-helical elements and three loops (D, anti-codon, and T loops). The record is from RNAcentral. Lineage: Bacteria; Bacillati; Bacillota; Clostridia; Eubacteriales; Eubacteriaceae. RNAcentral also lists the same sequence under 7 other names.
GGCGGGAUAGCUCAGUUGGCUAGAGCACACGGUUCAUACCCGUGGUGUCGCUGGUUCGAAUCCAGUUCCCGCUA